RNAcentral lists this ribosomal RNA (760 nucleotides) under uncultured Lactobacillus sp. Its description in RNAcentral is "bacterial SSU rRNA". It matches the Rfam family "Bacterial small subunit ribosomal RNA", at positions 28 to 755 of the family's 1533-position model. The record is from RNAcentral. Lineage: Bacteria; Bacillati; Bacillota; Bacilli; Lactobacillales; Lactobacillaceae.
GAUGAACGCUGGCGGCGUGCCUAAUACAUGCAAGUCGAACGAAACUUCUUUAUCACCGAGUGCUUGCACUCACCGAUAAAGAGUUGAGUGGCGAACGGGUGAGUAACACGUGGGCAACCUGCCCAAAAGAGGGGGAUAACACUUGGAAACAGGUGCUAAUACCGCAUAACCAUAGUUACCGCAUGGUAACUAUGUAAAAGGUGGCUAUACUACCGCUUUUGGAUGGGCCCGCGGCGCAUUAGCUAGUUGGUGGGGUAAAGGCUUACCAAGGCAAUGAUGCGUAGCCGAACUGAGAGGUUGAUCGGCCACAUUGGGACUGAGACACGGCCCAAACUCCUACGGGAGGCAGCAGUAGGGAAUCUUCCACAAUGGGCGAAAGCCUGAUGGAGCAACGCCGCGUGGGUGAAGAAGGUCUUCGGAUCGUAAAACCCUGUUGUUAGAGAAGAAAGUGCGUGAGAGUAACUGUUCACGUUUCGACGGUAUCUAACCAGAAAGCCACGGCUAACUACGUGCCAGCAGCCGCGGUAAUACGUAGGUGGCAAGCGUUAUCCGGAUUUAUUGGGCGUAAAGGGAACGCAGGCGGUCUUUUAAGUCUGAUGUGAAAGCCUUCGGCUUAACCGGAGUAGUGCAUUGGAAACUGGGAGACUUGAGUGCAGAAGAGGAGAGUGGAACUCCAUGUGUAGCGGUGAAAUGCGUAGAUAUAUGGAAGAACACCAGUGGCGAAAGCGGCUCUCUGGUCUGUAACUGACGCUGAGGUUCG